UGUACGUUCUUAUGGGGUGGGUGGGGGUGAAUAACCAGUGAUCAGUAAGUGUGGCCCUGAUCUAAACAUCUGAUCUUUUCUCUGCCCUUGUCCUCUUCUUCCUCCUCCUCCUCUUCCAACUCUUCCUCCAUGAACUUGUCCUGAGGUACAUCCCAUGUCCCUUAUUUGAUAGGGCCUCGACUCCUCUGUCCUCGACUGAACCGGAAGUUGUUCCGUCCCUUCUCAGUGAAGGCCGUCUCAAAGCUCUUAUUUCUGUCCUGAGGGCCGAGGAGCGAGCUUCGAGGAGGGAACACCUCGGAGAUAUAGCCGAUAUCAGCCUUGCCUGAAGCUGUGCAGAUCUCUGGGUGGGAGGGACUAAGACGCGAGGAAGGGAGGCAAGUGGAGGACUCCAGGAGGCAAUUUAAGCAACAUGAGAUGCAGCUCUGGUUGUCGUCCCCUGCCUCUCCCUCCUACUCCCCUUGCUCUCUGUCUAUUGUCGGCAUCCACUGUUCGAAGCAGGGACUAAGGAACAAACGGAGACGUUCAUACGUCUACGUGUAGGCAGCAAGCAGCUGUUUACCAGGGGGAGGGACACCGCUGCGAACGGAUAUUGGCUUAUUUUGGAGACGAUGGGGAUCGGAGGGAGGGAGGGUCUCCCACGCCCAGGCCAAGAAGAAGUGGGACAACCUAAAAAUAAAGUGGGAGAUAUUUACUUUGGGGGUAUUAAUGUAUGGACAUAAUUGUUAUGCACAUCUUAAUGUAACUUGUGAUUUUUGAAGUAAGCCUUGGAUGUUAACCUGACAGACUUGGGCCUGCUGACAGUAAGUUUAGAUGUAGUGAUGUGUACUAUAGUAGUAGUAAUAUAUCAUCACAACAACCUUUUGAUCUUCACUGUUUAGGAAUGCAAGUGUCCUGCCACAGGUCAGGGGACAGAAGAUGGGAAGGCGCCGGCAGCAACUUGGCCAUGGUUCACCCUCAUGGACGAGGCAUUAGGGCAGUCUGCGGCAGUCACGCCCCCCUGCCUUAUUGCCUCGAUCCAAGAGGACAAACCAGGGCCAAGCACUGCACAAGAGGUA
Perca fluviatilis (European perch) is the source of this 1055-nucleotide long non-coding RNA. RefSeq lists it as uncharacterized. Lineage: Eukaryota; Metazoa; Chordata; Actinopteri; Perciformes; Percidae. The record is from RefSeq and is a predicted model, not a curated record. The transcript has 3 exons.